GAGUGAUCUAGAGAGUGGACACUUUUGUAGAAUUGUGUAGAAGGUGAUUUGUAUCCAUUAGAUUAAAGUUGUGUUGGAUAAAUCUUGGCUAUUGAUUGAGGAAGUGGCCAAGUAUAAAUAGGUGUAGGAUUGCUCAUUUUGUAUGAAGCCAAAAAAAUCAAAAACAAGUUUGAGUAAUAAAAGUUUCUCUUCUCCAAAAUCUUUCUACUCUUCCAAAAUUCCCUUAGCCUAAAAGC
Molecule: long non-coding RNA, 236 nt
Filed under: Nicotiana benthamiana
Lineage: Eukaryota; Viridiplantae; Streptophyta; Magnoliopsida; Solanales; Solanaceae
Description: long non-coding RNA (NBEN_LNC029060)
Source: RNAcentral